ACUGACAUAUAUAAGUGACAUUCUGAAAUG
RNAcentral lists this non-coding RNA (30 nucleotides) under Cricetulus griseus (Chinese hamster). Lineage: Eukaryota; Metazoa; Chordata; Mammalia; Rodentia; Cricetidae. The record is from RNAcentral.